RNAcentral lists this unclassified non-coding RNA (228 nucleotides) under uncultured fungus. RNAcentral's name for it is "sequence contains ITS1, 5.8S rRNA gene". The stretch from base 180 to 228 matches the Rfam family "5.8S ribosomal RNA", at positions 1 to 49 of the family's 154-position model. Lineage: Eukaryota; Fungi. The record is from RNAcentral.
UCUCCGUAGGUGAACCUGCGGAGGGAUCAUUACUGAGUGAGGGCCUUCGGGCUCGACCUCCAACCCUUUGUGAACACAACUUGUUGCUUCGGGGGCGACCCUGCCGUUUCGACGGCGAGCGCCCCCGGAGGCCUUCAAACACUGCAUCUUUGCGUCUGAGUAAAUAUUGAAUCAAUCAAAACUUUCAACAACGGAUCUCUUGGUUCUGGCAUCGAUGAAGAACGCAGC